CAGCAGCCGCGGGAAAACGUAGGGUGCGAGCGUUAAUCGGAAUUACUGGGCGUAAAGCGUGCGCAGGCGGUUCGUUAAGACAGAUGUGAAAUCCCCGGGCUUAACCUGGGAACUGCAUUUGUGACUGACGGGCUAGAGUAUGGCAGAGGGGGGUAGAAUUCCACGUGUAGCAGUGAAAUGCGUAGAGAUGUGGAGGAAUACCGAUGGCGAAGGCAGCCCCCUGGGCCAAUACUGACGCUCAUGCACGAAAGCGUGGGGAGCAAACAGGAUUAGAUACCCGCGUAGUCCCUGUCUCUUAUAC
RNAcentral lists this ribosomal RNA (301 nucleotides) under uncultured bacterium. RNAcentral describes it as "partial 16S ribosomal RNA". It matches the Rfam family "Bacterial small subunit ribosomal RNA", at positions 509 to 807 of the family's 1533-position model. The record is from RNAcentral.